Molecule: ribosomal RNA, 474 nt
Filed under: uncultured Alphaproteobacteria bacterium
Lineage: Bacteria; Pseudomonadati; Pseudomonadota; Alphaproteobacteria
Description: bacterial SSU rRNA
Rfam family: Bacterial small subunit ribosomal RNA
Source: RNAcentral
GAGUUUGAUCUUGGCUCAGAACGAACGCUGGCGGCAUGCCUAACACAUGCAAGUCGAACGAGACCUUCGGGUCUAGUGGCGCACGGGUGCGUAACGCGUGGGAAUCUGCCCUCUGGUUCGGAAUAACUCAGGGAAACUUGAGCUAAUACCGGAUAAUGACUUCGGUCCAAAGAUUUAUCGCCUGAGGAUGAGCCCGCGUCGGAUUAGCUAGUUGGUGAGGUAAAAGCUCACCAAGGCGACGAUCCGUAGCUGGUCUGAGAGGAUGAUCAGCCACACUGGGACUGAGACACGGCCCAGACUCCUACGGGAGGCAGCAGUGGGGAAUUUUGGACAAUGGGGGAAACCCUGAUCCAGCCAUUCCGCGUGAGUGAAGAAGGCCUUCGGGUUGUAAGCUCUUUGUCCGGAACGAACGGACUAGCGUGAAUAUCGCUGGCUACUGACGGUACCGGAAGAAUAAGCACCGGCUAACUACGU